Small nuclear RNA from Otolemur garnettii (small-eared galago), 104 nucleotides. Lineage: Eukaryota; Metazoa; Chordata; Mammalia; Primates; Galagidae. The record is from Ensembl.
GUCCUCGCUUCGGCAGCACAUACACUAAAAUUGGAACGAUACAGAGAUCGGCACGGCCCCUGCGCAAGGAUGACACGCAAAUUCGUGAAACAUUCUAUAUUAAA